AGAGCGUUGCGCCUUGUGCCCUUGGCUGAGUUGUUGUUGUUUCAAUGUUUUUAUUAUUAGUAUUAUUACCAUGUGACAAUGUGUGCAGAGAUUAUUUCAGUGGAAAUUGUGUUACAAUACAAGUGACAUUUACGCAUGGGAUGUAAAUUGCAAUUUGCAUAAAACUUUGUUGCAGAUGAUGUCAACCUGCAAUGACACCCCGACAAUGGAAAAUAGUACUAUUGUUGGCGAACUAGCCGAGUUUGACAUCAAGGCUCCUAUCAGUGUCACGAUUAGUUUUGAUGACGAUCUCGAUGAACCUGUUGUAAAAAAACAAAUUGUGUCAGAUGAUUAUCAAGAAGAGGAAACUCAAGAAACCGUUAUAUCAACUUUUUUCCCCAUUUUGGAAACAAAACCUGAAAUCCAGGCAGAAACGCCUUCUCCUUGUUUAUCUAGUGAGAAACAGUGCAACGAUUUCAUCGUACAAAAUGUUCAAGACGCUCCUCAACCUGAUAACCUAUACGAUGGAUUAUUAAAUAGUAAUACAUCUAGAAAACGAAAAACAGAAAAUUUGGAAAUGUGCAAACCAAAGCAAUUCAAAAUUUUAGAUGACAAAUCCGAUGAUAAUAACUGUGACAAGGAAAAUUCACACACAACUCACACCAAAAGUGAUAAUAUUCAAUCUGAUCCCAACAUAACUAUCCGUGAACCCGAAAAACAUAGCACUGUUGCGACCACCCUAGUAGGGUCCAGUCUGAGCAAUAAAAAGGCUACCGAUAAACAAUUCGAUUUAUCUUCAUACAUAAACGAAAUCUGUCCAAGUGAAAAGGAAAAAAUAAGAUUGUUUAUAACGGGGUGCUUAGAUUCGUUGUCUGAUAACAUGAUAUGUAUCAUGCAAGCCUUUGUCACCUAUAGACAACAACACAUUUCUAAAGAAGAGUUUAAGAAAAAGAAACAACAAUAUUUUAAUUCCGCUUACAAAAUGUUGGUAAAAGUAAUGUUACCGGAAGAAAAGAACAAAGAUUUUAUACACACUUUCCUAAAUAACACGCUACAACGUGGGCGUAAAAAGUGUGGUCCUUAUUUUAUGCCUACGUACCAAGAUUAUGCGAAUCUCUUUCACGAAAUGCUUAUGUGGGCUAAGAUGAGCCAGCAACCAAUUCGAUCCGCAAUCAAAAGUGUUGCUUCAGUCGGAUCAGAAUUUAACAAAAAUCCAGCACAAGAUAAAUUACAGUCUACCAACACACAUAAAAAUACUGCAGCGGAAAAAGUUUGCAUAUUUUCAUCAGGUCCGCCCGAAAGAGCAUUAAGUAUUAACAUUGAUCCAACUUUUCAAAAAUAUUUGCACAAUACUUCCCAAUAUGGCAGUAACGAGACAAAUACUGAAAGUAAUAACACCACCCAGUUACAGACGGCCGUAGCGUGCCUAACUAGAUUUGUAGCCAAUAGCAGCCAAUCUUCAACUAUCCCUUCCCAACCCAAUCCUCGUCCACCGGUUAUCCAACCAACGGCAUCGGUAAGCUGUAACCGACCAACUGCUCAACAGGAACAACAUCCCGCGGUUUCAUCAAACAGCCAUCAGGGUCACACCACGAGUAACAUAUCAAAUUAUAGCAUUUUAACCCAUCAAAAGACUGCGACACCCCUUCUACAAAAGCAAUUAGAAAAGCCACCAUUGCUUGGAUAUUUACAACAAGUAGAUCAUCAACCACCUUCAUAUGAUUCUCAUUUUCAAACACAUUUAAAACAGGUGCAGCAAGCAAAGCUACCUUAUGAUCAGUCUCAGCGCUUGCGUGCACAAUCCAUUCAACAACAGCAAUUGCCGUCACAAUAUAAUCCAGCGCAGUAUCAACAAUCUCAAUAUUUACAAUCUCAGUCGGGAAUUGAGUACAAUCAAACGUGGCAAUUAGGCCAAUCGCCUUUACCAACGUCAGCAUAUAACCAAUCACGACAAGCCCAAGUGGGACUAUUGCAGCAGGACCAAUAUCAACAGCAACAACAACAUCCAGCUGAUAGUUGGCCAACCAUGGAAGAGCUCCUUUCAAUGGAUUCAACGCAACAGCUCCCGUAUCAGUCAAGUACUGAGCAAGUAAACUCAUUUGGACAAUGGCAAUCAAGACAACAAGCCCAACCACCACAAGCGUCUACAACAGAGUGGCACCAACAGGGGCAGGUUUACCAAGGACAGGUUCCUUCACAGACUCAGAAAGGGUCUCCCCGCUCCGCUUCCACCGAUAGCGGAUUUAUAAGUCCAUUGAAUUUCAACGUGCCUACGGACCAAACCAGACAAGAUUCAAUGAUGCCGACAGUAUCUCAUGAACCCGACACCUCCAUGCCGAUGAUAGUACACGUCACGUCCCUCAGUGAGAAAGCCGCCUUCCUAGAUAUGGGCACAUGCGUGGUGUGCAAGAAGAGCGCCAAGCAAAUGUGCAUGGGUUGCAUGAAGGUUUACUACUGUAAUUAUGAAUGUCAGACUCUCAACUGGACUGAGCACGCGCCUUAUUGUUCGCAGUAAAAUACGAGUACAUAAUGGGUUUUAAAAGCCGCAGAUUAAAAGAAGAUAAAAAGACUGUUAUUAUUCCUAAUAUAAUAAGAACUAGUGUAACUUGAAAAUAAGAAGAAAAUGUUUGUUAUUUAUGUGUUCAUACUGUGUGAACAGCGUUCGGAGUUUGUAAAUCGGAUCUUGAUUUUAUAUCUCUAUGCAUCACGUUCGCACUUAUAAAAAGUGAUGUAAUAGGGUAUUAUACUGUAUUUAAAAUAAAUUAUGUUACACCAUGCAUGAAAUAAAGCACCAGAUUCCAAAAACAUAGAUAGGAGUUAUUUUUACACACAAGUUCUAUUUAAUAAAUUGGAUAGAAAUAUAAAAAGUAGGUGUGUUGACCGUGACGUCACGAUGUAAUGUUUCAUAUAAAUUCCAUAUUAGCAAAUCGUUUUGACACUUUAAAAAAAGUAACUGAUUUGACUACUUAGUAGGAAAAUACCCUAUUAUGUAUAUUGUCCUGCCUGUCCCGAUCUCUAUCGCACGUGCAUAUUUAUAUUGCUGCCCGGCUUGCAGUGUCAUUGACCUCCAGCAUCAUGGGCGGAAUAGCAAUAUAAUUAGAACUACGCACGUGCGAUAGAGAUAGGAACAGGCCGGUCAGUGCACGAAAUUCCUCUUGUUUAGCGUUCUUACUUUAGUAACUGAAGCUCAAAUCUAUGAAUAUGUCAAUUUCGAAUGGCGCUCUUUUGUAAAUAUUAGAUAUAAGUACACAUUAUCCUGCCGAACCUCGUUGAAAGCGUUGAAAUAGUUAUAAUUUGCCAGUGCCAUCGAAAAGGCAAAAUUGUUAAAAUAUGUUUAUAAACGCCUGUGAAGAAAUAAAUAAGAAACGAUAUACUUACAUAUGUAGUUUUUGUAAGAAUCUGAGUUAAUAUUCCGUUAUUUCUUUGAAUUUUAGCUAGUCAUAGUGUUAUGUUUAAGAUAGACGAUUAAUCAUUUCAAGCAAAAGGAUACUACUUAGGUAUUGUCGGUAUUUCAUGAUGAAUCGCCGCCAUUAAGAUUCAGUUACAAAUAUAUUUUAUUGAUCGACAAUUCGACAGUGAUAAGUACCUUUUGUCUGAAAUCGUAUUAAACUCUAAACUAAAUAAAUAAAAAAUAUUCAUAAGAGCUGGCGCCGAUGCCAAUUAAACUAGGGACAUAUCGCGAUCUACACUAAAUAGUAGGCGCGCUUUACAUUUUUCCACCUCUUAACUCAAGUCUUAAGAGGAAAGGGGACGUCCGCAUCUCUAUACAAACGUAGUCUCCAUUUUCCUCUCUGCAUACAAUUGACAUUAUGGGAUAUUUUGAUUAUUGUAAAAAUUGGGAGCGAGACAGAUUUCAUAAGUACAAAUUUUUAAAUGCCUCCUAAAAGGCGAUUUCGCGCGGGUCCUCCACAAAUGAAAUCCCGGUUUUGAAUCGGGAUUCAAAUGCUGUACAUCUUCCAUGUUAAAUACCUGAUUUUAAACAGAUUCAAACUCGGAAGUUUUAGAACCGUGUUAACUUUUUAUCAGAUUUACAAAACGAGUUUAAAGGGACAAUUAAGCUACUCCGUACUUCAUACUUACUGCACACUGCGAGAAAAGUGAUAUAUAGUGCUAUCUUUAGACUACAUUUACUCUCUAACAUAAGUAUAUCAAUGUCAAUCAAAUCGGAGUCGGACAGUUGAAUACCUUUUUAUGUAAAUAUUUAUAUCGAAAGACUUGAGCGCCCCGUCCCAAGGACAAUAUGAGAAAAGCCUUAUUAUAUUAUGAAUUAUCUCAGAUGAUUUUUUCGGGUUCGGGCCUGUUGAACAAAAGGUAUUGUUUCCUUUAUGCAGUGGUUACACUGCUUACUGCGAGUAGCCCCGACAUAAGUAACGGGAACAAGCCCGUUUAAAAAGCAAAUUUACUAUUAUAUUUAUAUGGUUCAAAAUCAUGAAACAGCCCAUUCGGAGAUAACAUAUUUUGUUAUCUCCGAAGAAAAGACCACCUUAAUUGUUCUCUGAAUGAGCUGUCACAUAAAUUAGAACCUUAAUACUAUCACGAUAGUUGCUAAAUGACAUGGUUGCUUUGGCACGAGCUGAAGACCGCUCUUAAAAGAAACAAAGGCUUAUGUUAUGUUUAACAGAUUAGGGUCCGAGCCCGAAAAAAACAUCUAAGAUAAUUCAUACUAUACCAUUACCACUAAUUUCCAUUACU
This is an RNA transcript of Cydia fagiglandana, 4671 nucleotides long. RefSeq lists it as uncharacterized. Lineage: Eukaryota; Metazoa; Arthropoda; Insecta; Lepidoptera; Tortricidae. The transcript is spliced from 6 exons. The record is from RefSeq and is a predicted model, not a curated record.